Molecule: long non-coding RNA, 3909 nt
Filed under: Lathyrus oleraceus (garden pea)
Lineage: Eukaryota; Viridiplantae; Streptophyta; Magnoliopsida; Fabales; Fabaceae
Description: Pisum sativum (pea) long non-coding RNA (PSAT_LNC040110)
Source: RNAcentral
UGUAUUGAGUAACAAACCUUGACAUUAACUAGUUUAGAAAGAUAUGUAUUGAACAUCAAAAUUAAUUAAAUAUAUACUUAUAUCCUAAAGAACAUAAAAUGUCAUCUUCUAUAUUCUGAUAAUUAAACGAUUAACAUAAGUUAUAUAGCUUAAAAUAUAUGCUAAAAUACUAAAUAUAAGUAGAAAAUGAAAAAGAAAAAAAUAAAAAAGAAUAAUUACAAGAAAAUGAAAAAGAAAAAAAGAAAAUAGAAUAAUUACAAGACAAUGCAAAUGAGACCGUAUGUAUUAAAGAAAACCAACCCAAUCAUUUUUCUAGUCUUACAUUAGCACCAACUUUAUUAUUGUGAGAUCCUCAUAAUCCUAACAAACAUCUCAAUCUCAUCAAAAAAAUACGAAAAACCCUAUCAUAAUCAUUGGUGAUGCAAGAAUAAAAUUGAAAAUAAGAGGAAACACAAAUGAAUAGAGUGACAAAAUAAACAAGUUAGAGAUGUGUAACCUUCAAAAGAUUAAAUAUUGUAAGCUAAAUAAUUAUAUUAAGUAAAUCCUCAAUUAUAUAAAUCAAUCAAACAUUUAUUGAGUAACAAACCUUGACAUUAACUAGUUUAGAAAGAUAUGUAUUGAACAUCAAAAUUAAUUAAAUAUAUACUUAAAUAUUAAGUAAAUCCUCAAUUAUAUAAAUCAAUCAAACAUUUAUUGAGUAACAAACCUUGACAUUAACUAGUUUAGAAAGAUAUGUAUUGAACAUCAAAAUUAAUUAAAUAUAUACUUAUAUCCUAAUGAACAUAAAAUGUCAUCUUCUAUAUUCUGAUAAUUAAACGAUUAACAUAAGUUAUAUAUCUUAAAAUAUAUGCUAAAAUACUAAAUAUAAGUAGAAAAUGAAAAAGAAAAGAAGAAAAAAGAACAAUUACAAGAAAAUGAAAAAGAAAAAAAGAAAAUAGAAUAAUAACAAGACAAUGCAAAUGAGACCGUAUGUAUUAAAGGAAACAAACCCAAUCAUUUUUCUAGUGCUACAUUAGCACCAACAUUAUUAUUGUGAGAUCCUCAUAAUCCUAACAAACAUCUCAAUCUCAUCAAAACAAUACGAAAAACCCUAUCAUAAUCAUUGGUGAUGCAAGAAUAAAAUUGAAAAUAAGAGGAAACACAGAUGAAUAGAGUGACAAAAUAAACAAGUUAGAGAUGUGUAACCUUCAAAAGAUUAACCUAUAUCAGAAAUCAAUUGUUCCGUACAUUUGAUAGAUAAGAAAGAAAAUUACUCAUAAAAGAUAGAAAAAAAAGGAAAAUAUGACAAUUUUUCAGCAGUACGUAUUUUUUUACCCUUUGUAUUUUGUUUAUACAAUCAUAAAGUGAUUAUGAACCAGAGAUUUCUAUUAAAUAAUGUAAGGUAAAUAUUUAUAUUAAGUACAUCCUCAAUUAUAUAAAUCAAUCAAACAUGUAAUGAGUAACAAACCUUGACAUUAAUUAGUUUAGAAAGAUAUGUAUUGAACAUCAAAAUUAAUUAAAUAUAUACUUAUAUCCUAAAGAACAUAAAAUGUCAUCUUCUAUAUUCUGAUAAUUAAACGAUUAACAUAAGUUAUAUAGAUUAAAAAAUAUGCUAAAAUACUAAUUAUAAGUAGAAAAUGAAAAAGAAAAAAAGAAAAAAGAAUAAUUACAAGAAAAUGAAAAAGAAAAAAAGAAAAUAGAAUAAUUACAAGACAAUGAAAAUGAGACCGUAUGUAUUAAAGGAAACCAACCCAAUCAUUUUUCUAGUGUUACAUUAGCACCAACUUUAUUAUUGUGAGAUCCUCAUAAUCCUAACAAACAUCUCAAUCUCAUCAAAACAAUACGAAAAACCCUAUCAUAAUCAUUGGUGAUGCAAGAAUAAAAUUGAAAAUAAGAGGAAACACAGAUGAAUAGAGUGACAAAAUAAACAAGUUAGAGAUGUGUAACCUUCAAAAGAUUAACCUAUAUCAGAAAUCAAUUGUUCCGUACAUUUGAUAGAUAAGAAAGAAAAUUACUCAUAAAAGAUAGAAAAAAAAGGAAAAUAUGACAAUUUUUCAGCAGUACGUAUUUUUUUACCCUUUGUAUUUUGUUUAUACAAUCAUAAAGUGAUUAUGAACCAGAGAUUUCUAUUAAAUAUUGUAAGCGAAAUAAUUAUAUUAAGUAAAUCCUCAAUUAUAUAAAUCAAUCAAACAUUUAUUGAGUAACAAACCUUGACAUUAAUUAGUUUAGAAAGAUAUGUAUUGAACAUCAAAAUUAAUUAAAUAUAUACUUAUAUCCUAAAGAACAUAAAAUGUCAUCUUCUAUAUUCUGAUAAUUAAACGAUUAACAUAAGUUAUAUAGAUUAAAAAAUAUGCUAAAAUACUAAUUAUAAGUAGAAAAUGAAAAAGAAAAAAAGAAAAAAGAAUAAUUACAAGAAAAUGAAAAAGAAAAAAAGAAAAUAGAAUAAUUACAAGACAAUGAAAAUGAGACCGUAUGUAUUAAAGGAAACCAACCCAAUCAUUUUUCUAGUGUUACAUUAGCACCAACUUUAUUAUUGUGAGAUCCUCAUAAUCCUAACAAACAUCUCAAUCUCAUCAAAACAAUACGAAAAACCCUAUCAUAAUCAUUGGUGAUGCAAGAAUAAAAUUGAAAAUAAGAGGAAACACAGAUGAAUAGAGUGACAAAAUAAACAAGUUAGAGAUGUGUAACCUUCAAAAGAUUAACCUAUAUCAGAAAUCAAUUGUUCCGUACAUUUGAUAGAUAAGAAAGAAAAUUACUCAUAAAAGAUAGAAAAAAAAGGAAAAUAUGACAAUUUUUCAGCAGUACGUAUUUUUUUACCCUUUGUAUUUUGUUUAUACAAUCAUAAAGUGAUUAUGAACCAGAGAUUUCUAUUAAAUAUUGUAAGCGAAAUAAUUAUAUUAAGUAAAUCCUCAAUUAUAUAAAUCAAUCAAACAUUUAUUGAGUAACAAACCUUGACAUUAAUUAGUUUAGAAAGAUAUGUAUUGAACAUCAAAAUUAAUUAAAUAUAUACUUAUAUCCUAAAGAACAUAAAAUGUCAUCUUCUAUAUUCUGAUAAUUAAACGAUUAACAUAAGUUAUAUAGAUUAAAAAAUAUGCUAAAAUACUAAUUAUAAGUAGAAAAUGAAAAAGAAAAAAAGAAAAAAGAAUAAUUACAAGAAAAUGAAAAAGAAAAAAAGAAAAUAGAAUAAUUACAAGACAAUGAAAAUGAGACCGUAUGUAUUAAAGGAAACCAACCCAAUCAUUUUUCUAGUGUUACAUUAGCACCAACUUUAUUAUUGUGAGAUCCUCAUAAUCCUAACAAACAUCUCAAUCUCAUCAAAACAAUACGAAAAACCCUAUCAUAAUCAUUGGUGAUGCAAGAAUAAAAUUGAAAAUAAGAGGAAACACAGAUGAAUAGAGUGACAAAAUAAACAAGUUAGAGAUGUGUAACCUUCAAAAGACUAACCUAUAUCAGAAAUCAAUUGUUCCGUACAUUUGAUAGAUAAGAAAGAAAAUUACUCAUAAAAGAUAGAAAAAAAAGGAAAAAAUGACAAUUUUUCAGCAGUACAUAUUUUUUUACCCUUUGUAUUUUGUUUAUACAAUCAUAGAGUGAUUAUGAACCAGUGAUUUCUAUUAAAUAUUGUAAGCUAAAUGAUUAUAUUAAGUAAAUCCUCAAUUAUAUAAAUCAAUCAAACAUUUAUUGAGUAACAAACCUUGACAUUAACUAGUUUAUAAAGAUAUGUAUUGAACAUAAAAAUUAAUUAAAUAUAUACUUAUAUCCUAAAGAACAUAAAAUGUCAUCUAAUAUAUUCUGAUAAUUAAACAAUUAACAUAAGUUAUAUAGCUUAAAAUAUAUGCUAAAAUAUUAAAUAUAAGUAGAAAAUGAAAAAGAAAAAAAUAAAAAAGAAUAAUUACAAGAAAAUGAAAAAGAAAAAAAGAAAAUAGAAUAUUU